Molecule: ribosomal RNA, 468 nt
Filed under: uncultured bacterium
Lineage: Bacteria
Description: partial 16S ribosomal RNA
Rfam family: Bacterial small subunit ribosomal RNA
Source: RNAcentral
GACGAACGCUGGCGGCGUGCUUAACACAUGCAAGUCGAACGGAAAGGCCCUGCUUUUGUGCGGUGCUCGAGUGGCGAACGGGUGAGUAACACGUGAGUAACCUGCCCUUGACUUUGGGAUAACUUCAGGAAACUGGGGCUAAUACCGGAUAGGAGCUCCUGCUGCAUGGUGGGGGUUGGAAAGUUUCGGCGGUUGGGGAUGGACUCGCGGCUUAUCAGCUUGUUGGUGGGGUAGUGGCUUACCAAGGCUUUGACGGGUAGCCGGCCUGAGAGGGUGACCGGCCACAUUGGGACUGAGAUACGGCCCAGACUCCUACGGGAGGCAGCAGUGGGGAAUAUUGCACAAUGGGCGGAAGCCUAAUGCAGCAACGCCGCGUGCGGGAUGACGGCCUUCGGGUUGUAAACCGCUUUCGCCUGUGACGAAGCGUGAGUGACGGUAAUGGGUAAAGAAGCACCGGCUAACUACGUG